This 398-nucleotide ribosomal RNA is filed under the name Rhyncogonus saltus. Its description in RNAcentral is "partial 16S ribosomal RNA". It matches the Rfam family "Archaeal large subunit ribosomal RNA", at positions 1948 to 2634 of the family's 2987-position model. The record is from RNAcentral. Lineage: Eukaryota; Metazoa; Arthropoda; Insecta; Coleoptera; Curculionidae.
GGCCUGCCCACUGAAAGUUUAAAUGGCCGCGGUAUUUUGACCGUGCAAAGGUAGCAUAAUAAUUAGUUUUUUAAUUGAAAGCUGGAAUGAAAGGUUGGAUGAGAAAAUAACUGUCUCUAUUUAAGUUAAUUAGAAUUUUAUUUUUAAGUAAAAAAGCUUAAAUAAUAAUAGAAGACGAGAAGACCCUAUAGAGUUUUAAUUUAGUUGGGGUGAUUGAAAAAUUUAAUUAACUUUUUUUAUAUACGGACAUUGAUAUAUGAGUGAUUGAUCCUUUAUUUAAGAUUAAAAGAAAAAAUUACCUUAGGGAUAACAGCGUAAUUUUUUUAGAGAGUUCAAAUCGAAAAAAAAGAUUGCGACCUCGAUGUUGGAUUAAAAUUAAGUUUUGGUGUAGAAGCUAA